AUAAUUUUGCCAAAAGCACAUGACCACCAUAUGUUUGAUGAAAGUUUUUGCAUGGUUUUGAUUUGAGUUUCGGAACAUGAAAUCUUUUAUGUAAAUUACAUGUUUGGGUGGUCUGAAACUACACUUUUAUGAAAGAUCAUGCUUAAUGCAUUAUGGCUCAGAAAUAGGACUUGCAAGUCUUGGUAUGACGAUACCAACUCAGACAAAUGCCAUAACAGACACAAACUAGUUUAAAAAUUAGAUUUUAUCAGACUUUCAUGAUUAAGAAAUUUCAGAAUGAUACAUGUUCAGAAAAAGUUAAAAAUUGGGCAUAAAGAGAUGUUAGGUGGUCCCCGAAGAAGGCGUGAGUUUAGACAACUCAUUGCCCAAAAUCGUGAUUUGCCAAUCUGGGUAUAUUAUUAUACGCUGGCUUAAGUGUUGUAUGGCGUAUCAGACUCAGACAGUCCAACCCUGGCGGCAUACUUGGGUUGGGGGCUUCCCGUCGAGUCAAUGUCGGAUUUUAUAUAGCCCGUGGAAUAUCAGAUUUGUAGGGGAGUGCCACCUAACUCAGAAGUAAUACAAAGAUCAGAAAUUGUUUUGACAAGAAUGUCUUAUGAUUUUCGAAUGAUGCCCAUGUGUUUUCAAAAGCUAUUUUAUACGUGAUGUGUUGAUGAAAAUUGCUCUUAUCUAUUAUAUAUAUGUUCAAAUUCUUUAUUUUGGAUUGCUUCGCGUGCCAGUACAUUUGUGCUGACCUCUGCUCCUUCCAAGUUUUGAGACACAGUCUAGGGGUCCAGAUAAACAGUCGAUAUUUCAGAUCGCAGAGCAGAUUGUGCAGGGGUGAGCCUUCUAUAUUCCAGAAGGCCUGUUUACUUUCAGAUAUUUAUCUUUAGGGCCUUGUCCCAGUUUUCAGAUAGUUUUGUUUAGUUCAUAGUAGAUAUUUCGCAGACUGAGUCAAACAUUAUUAUUAUCCAGAUAUAUUUUGGAUUUCAAUUCUUCAGUAUUAUGAUCACAUUCAGACUGACCAUGUUUCCGUAUGAGAUUUCUAUUUCCGCAUUAUCUUUUAUUAUAUGAAUGUUGUGCAUGAUUACCAGAUAGACAGAGAGCGUCCUGGGCCUUCAUGGUUCGGGAAUGCUCAUCACGGCCAAGGCCCUGAUUCGUGUCGUGACAAAUUUGGUAUCAGAGCACGGCUCAUGGUCCCAGGGUGUCUGCGAAAUUGCGUCGGGUAGAGUCUUAUUUAUGGGUGUGUAGCGCGCCACACUUAUAAGCAGGAGGCUACUAGGCGUUUAGGAAUGUCUCUCUUUCUUCAUGUUCUAGUUCGUGCAAUAAAGUCAGAAUGUUCCUCUUUCAUACUCUAAUUUGUGCUAUGGUGUCGCCCAUACGAAAGUAAAAUGUCAUCCCAAAUUCUUUCCUUACUCUAAUGUCCUCAGAUAUGCCUCAUUAUUGAGGUGAUUCAAGUGCAGAAGUUUAGAAUCUAAAUGGUAUGGUCCUUUCUGAUUGAACCAUAUAAGAGUUAAAAUUUGUGCAAGGACUUGAGAAGAGUCCAGUGGUGCUUCAAUGUGUAUUGACUCCGAUGUAAACAUUGACCCUGAUGGAAUCGUGCUUUUCAGCUUGAGGUAUUAAUUNNNNNNNNNNNNNNNNNNNNNNNNNNNNNNNNNNNNNNNNNNNNNNNNNNNNNNNNNNNNNNNNNNNNNNNNNNNNNNNNNNNNNNNNNNNNNNNNNNNNNNNNNNNNNNNNNNNNNNNNNNNNNNNNNNNNNNNNNNNNNNNNNNNNNNNNNNNNNNNNNNNNNNNNNNNNNNNNNNUAAAUGAAUAUUUUAGUUGAAUAACCGAUGUUCGAAAUGAUUUACCCUCCUUAUGGUGAUAGACUAAUGUGGUAACUAGUAGCAUGUGUGGAUGGUAUGGUAGUCCGUGGAGGAAGUGUUUGACUCUGAUUUUAUUUAUACAGAGUAAGAUGUGUAUUCUUAGUUCAUUGGAUAUUGCGUAUUAAAUUUCUAUCUCAAGUAAUCUUGUCAUCAAGGUGUUGUUGAAAUAAAAAUAAAGUCUAGUGAAGCCGUGUGGGGCUCUUUCGAUUCACUAGCAUAGUUGACUUGUCAUUCAUCUCAUUUUCUUGUUCAAAAUACAAAAAUCAAAGUCUAGUGAACCGUGUGAGGCCUAUUUCGAUUCACUAGCAACUUGUUGUUCUUGUGUUGGUUUAAUAUAUAAAUAUGUAUAGCUGAAUUUGUUUGCAUGAGAUUGAGUUGGUAAAGAGGUGAUUCGUCCUUUUGUGUUGUUUAGUAGAAGGUAGAGAAGAAGUUGUUAGUUAGGGUGAUUUGUUGGUUGCUUGAAGUGUGAAAAUGGCUAUAUUAGCUAGUAAGUUGUAAGUAUAGACUCAUGGUUGUUUGUGGAAUCUGAAGGUAGUCUAAAUGUAUGCUUGGGUAAGUAAGAGUGAUGUGAGAAGCCGUAUAAAUAGAUAAGAUUGUAUGGAGUUAUAGUAUAAGAUUAAUGUCGAUUAUGUCUAUUAUGUGACUUUACCCCUUGACCUUCUUUUCCUUGGUAGUUGUAAACUAGUACUACUUGUGAGAAGGUAUGUAGUAGAUUUUUGAGGUAUAGUAGUAAUGCCAUAAAGUUUCUUUCGUCGUGGAUAGUAGCUAGAUAAAAUCAGGUAUUUUGGGUAGAAUGUCCCAAUUUGAUGGACUAGUAAAUUAUGUUGUAUUCCUCAUGGGUGGUAUUUACUGAAUAAAACAAGUAUGAGCUGAUGCCUAUGAUGCUUUACAACAUGUAUUUAUCGUACCUAAAAGUCCCGAAGUCAACAAGGUAAAACAAUGCAAGCUAUACAAUUAUCAACUAUGAGCUGAAAAUCUGAAAUUUCUGCAUAUGCAUGCCAACCUUUGUGGACCUUUUAAAGCUAGAAAAUAUACACUUUCAUACCAGCCCGUGUGAACUUCCUAAUGUCUAAUAAAGGUGUUCCCAUCCUGUUUUGACUAUCUAGAAGGUUCUGGAACGUUUGCAGCAAUGUGGGGCACUUAUCGAAGCCCCACCAAGCUCGAAAACCCACCCGAAUAGUCCGAAACGUGCCCAAAACGUGAGAAAUUUAAUGGGAUGUGACAUUGAGCAUCACAAUGUGGUUGUAAAAAUAGUGACUUAAGAUUAAUGAUGUAUGUUUUGUAAGAAUUAUGUAUAAGGUUGGGUUGUAAAUCAUGUUUAACACUAGACAUUAAGUUUGAACAAUUGAUGUCCAUNNNNNNNNNNNNNNNNNNNNNAACCGUAUACAAUUCAUUCAUUUUAUUUUUACAAUUAUCAUUCGCCAUUACCUCCUCCUCCCGAACCUCCAACCACCUAACAAUAAUCAAUACUCUACCGUACUAUGACUAUUAGGCUGCCCUCAGUACAUAUCAACUGUAAUCAUAUCAAAUAUCGGGAUCAUCCCAUGUUAGGCUUAAGCCCCUGAGCUACCACCCACACGUAUAUCAAGUAACACACAUAAGAGAUCUUUCCAAUAACUUAGUUCAAAAGCUUUUGAGAUUAUUACAUUAGUGUUCAUGCCAAUAGAGUACCGUUGGAAUAAUGAUACAUCAAUAGGAACCAAGUAAUAGACUUUCUAUACAAUAACGAUGUAAUAAAGACUCAUUGGUACAUCAACAAUGUGUUUCGGAAUCAUCAAUAUCACAACAAUGAAAUAGGAGCCUUUCGGUAUAUCAAUGAAACAUUUUGACACUUUAUAGAAUGGAAACAACUUCGUUGGUAAUGUAGAACAAUACAUGUUUUUGGACAACCUCGGAAUCUUACUUGAUGGAACAUUGGUGUUUUCAUGCCAAAGAACAUCGUUAGAGUAUGCUUUACAUACCUCGUUGUAGAUUCGGAUACCAAUUCAACACAACUUCCCGCCUUUACAAAUCACUUAUCUACAAUGAAAUGUUUGGCAUCUAGUAUUAGCAACCCAACACCACAAUUCUCUUCCAUAAUUCCAUACUACCAAUAUUUGCAAAACAUUCCAAAAACCAACUUGAACAAUAGGUUUAUGUGUGUAUAUAUAUAUAAUCAUCAUUUCAAUACCACAUCAUCAAUACCACAUCAUCACCCCAAAUUCCUUCACAAUUUAACAUAAUCCAACCAUGCACAAGAAUAAUCCAACAUCAUUUCCAAUCAUCUUUCAACAACAAUCAAAUAACAUACUUCUUAUGCUCACAUGCAUAUAUAUAUACAUAUCCAUAUAAAUAACACCAACAUAAUUUACAUCCUUACCAAAAAAAUGGCCCUUUUGAUUUCGAAGUCCUGUUGGCACAAAUAAGGGGUGCUUCUCGAAGCCCUUGAGACGGUGAACACAACUACGGAAUCAAUUUGGAUUUUCUACGGUUGAAUCACAAGAUAAUUGGAGUUGAACUUAGGCUAGGGUUUCUUAUUCUUCAAUGAUUUGGAUGAUAAAUGGUGGAUAUAAGGCUAAGUAUAUGUAUAUAAUGACCAAUUUUCGUCCAUGAGGUGAUGGAAAAUGACCAUAUUGCCCUUAAAAAUUUAAGUAAAUCCGAAUCUGUCCAUUUCAUUUUUUACAAGGAGUUAUGAUUAUUUAAAGUCGACCCAAAAAUCUGUUUGGCUGCAGUACUUUUGUGUGCAGAAAAUUUCUGCACAUUUACUGUUCAUUGCGUCCACCGUUUUUAAGUUUCGAACAUGCUCGCUUAUAUCCGAUACUCAUCUGUUUUCAGAAAUCUUUAUAUCGUUGGAAAGCUAACUCGAUAAACUUCGCAUAGAAACUUCGACGAGCAAAUUCCGGUAUAAACAAAGUCGAUUCCUAUACACAUAUAAUCAAACUAUACACUUGAAACCAUCUCAAAAUAAUCAAUACUCAUACUUAAACUCAUAUAUACCUAACUUAUGAUCAAUACAUAUACUCCAACACAUAUAACCAUGGCUAAUGCACGUAAUUAAGUACGGGGUGUUACAAGUAGUAAUGUCAUAAAGGUGCUUUGGUUGUGGAUAGUAUCUAGAUAAAAUCAGAUAUUUGGGGUAGAAUGUCCCAAUUUAAUGGACUAGUAAAUUAUGUUGUAUUCUUCAUGGGUGGUAUUUCCUGAAUAAAACAAGUAUGAGAUGAUGCUUAUGAUGCCUUACAACAUGUAUUAUAGUACCUAAAAGUCCCUAAGUCAAUAAGGUACAACAAUGCAAGCUAUACAAUUAUCAACUACAAGCUGAAAAUUUGAAAAUCCUGCCCAUGCACACUGAAAUUUCUGCACAUGCAUGCCAACCUUUGUGGACCUUUUAAAGCUGGAAAAUCUACACUUUCAUACCAGCCCGUGUGAACUUCCUAAAGUCUAAUAAAUGUGCUCCCAACCUAUUUUGACCAUCUAGAAGGUGCUGGAACGUUGGCAGCAAUGCAGGUCAUUUAUCGAAGCCCCGCCAAGCUCGAAAAUGCGUCCGAAUAGUCUGAAACAUGCCCAAAACAUGAGGAGUUUAAUGGGUUGUGAAGUUGAGCAUCACAAUGUGGUUGUAAAAAUAGUGACUUAAGAUUAAUGAUAUAUGUUUUGUAAGCAUUAUGUAUAAGGUUGGGUUGUAAAUCAUGUUAAGCACUAGACAUUAAGUUUGAAUAAUUGAUGUCCAUGAAGGUGGAUGUGAUGAUUUCUUGGUUAAUGAUACUAGUUUUAUGGAAGUAAUCUAAUAGGAUUGAAUGGUAUAUGCAAGAGCCUAAGUUUAUUUGAUUCGUAGUGAAGUAUGAAGUUGCAUAUAUAAUGUAGAAGUAUGCCCAAGGUGAUCUAAGGUUGCGGUAUUUUCUAAGACUAUUACACGUUUUGUGUGACGAGUGGUACCGUUUAGUUGCUAGGUGGAGAAAGACUAGUUAGAUGCUAUAUGGUUUUCUAAAUAGCUAGUUAAGGAGUUUUGAUUGAUAGUGUUGAGCCUUUUUAUAUGAUCUUGAUUCUCAUAGUAAAGAGAUGUAAGUUUGGAGUCGCGAUAUUGGUAGGCUAUGUCAGAAGUAGUAUGAUUCAUUGAAGGCUUGGUGAUAUCCAUGUUGAGUGCUAGAUUUUAAGUUUGAGUUUUUGAAGGUUGAACUAAUAGAAAUAAAAGUUAAAGCACUAGAGGGUGUGCACUCCGAUACUCAUGAAGACCCGAAGUUAGUAAGUGUGCAAGUAUUAUAUGAUGACUGGUGGGCCUAUAGAAUGAUAAAGUGUAUCUCAGAAGGUAGUAUAAAUAGUGGGUUUUCCACUUUCAGGUGUAGUCAUUCGAGUUAAGUGUCAUGAUAUAUGUGUAUAGUAGUUUUCCAGACCCCAGAGUGCAGUGAGUGUACUUCAGUUUAGAGUCUAGUAAGGGAUAUCCCAAACUUAAUAUGAUGGCUUGAAGCUAAGGGGGAGAUGAUAGAGCGAAUAACCAAGUCAGGCUUUCAGAUUCUAGUCGUGAUGUCAUGAUGAUAUAGAACGUCAGAAAGUGAGGGUGAGACUCAACCCAUUCUUAUCUCAGUAUUUUUUUUCCAGUUAUCCCAAUAUCUUCUCAUGCCUUAUGUUUCAGUCCAAUGAUCAAAAUUCAUGUUCAUGCUUAUGAUAGAGAAUCAUGUACUCUUCAAGCUUCAAAAUGAGAAGUUUCAGUUCAUUCAGUAGUCGGAAUCCCAUUCCAUAAGUUUGAACUCCAAAUUGAGGUCAUGUAGCUCAUGACUCAUGUACUCACGCUUUAUAGUAUGCUUGUUUUAGAUAAUACCAUAAGUGUGAAGUAAGAUCUGGGGUCAAGUUUUUGAUAUAUGUGAUUUUUAGUGGAAAUUUGUGUGUGUAUGUUUUUGGGGUAGCGCGUGGGAGUUAUAUUAAUAGUGGUUUAGAGAAUAUGUGAAGUGUGUCUUCAUAGGUGUUUGCCUUGAAGUUCAUAUGAGGUUAUAAAUAUAAGCUUGAAUGACAUGUUGGGAUUUUAGUGAAGGAACGCAAUAUGCGUUAGUGAAUCUAUAGUAAGAGUUCAGAGUUAGUCAUUAAUGUGGGAAGGCAUGAUAUGCUUAGGGUGUGAACUUUAAAAAGAUAUGGAAGAUUGAAUCAUAUUGUUUAGACUAGUAUCAUGGUAUGACAUGUAUUUUUGUGACUUGGAGUUAGGCUUGAUCGCAGUGAAAGGAUUUAAGCUACUAUAGACAUUGUAGAAAGAGCUAUCAAUGCCCAUAUGAGAAUUAUAAGUUGAAUGGAAUGAAUAUGGUAUUUAAGGGAAAUAGUAUAGUUAAGGGAGUAUUAAAGAAGUGUGCUAAUCUUGAAAAACAAGAAGUUGCAUUGUCCAAGAUCUUUUGCUCCAUAAUGCUACUAGAAUUUCUUUAGACAGAGUGUUGAAGAGAUACUCCCGUUGAAUAUAAGUUUCCGGUGUAUUUCAGUUUAGCUGUCAGGCAGACAAGUUACGGUAGUUUUCCACCUUUUCACCCAAUCCUGCUAUCCGAAGUCUCAUUCGUAUGACUAUCCCAAGAGAUAAUAUAUUUCAUCCUAAGUUGUGAAUUCAGUUCAGUCAAAGCAUCAUGUUUCAGAUUCAGCUAUUUAGGCGUGACUCAGUUCAUAAGUGGUCAGUGCAUAAUCUCAAAUACUUCCAAGUAUUUUAGCCCAGUUAGUAUAAUACCCUGGUAUGAUCUAAGUCUUGAUGCCUCAUGAUUCGUAAUUACAUAAGUUAUCACUUCUCAAUUCAAUAUGUAUGAUUGGAUCAUGAACACUUCAAGGGAAUCCUAAACUCUUAGCAUGAAUCAGCUUCUUGAAGCAAGUAAGGGCAAGUCAACUCAGAAUUCAGUUUCGUGAUAGAAGUUUGAAUAUUUCAGAUCAGUUAUAUACUUUCUUAGAAGACACAUCAUGUCAGUGUCAUUCCAUACCUUUGCGCUUCAACAUUUCCAAUCCAUCAUUCGGGGACAAAUGAUCCUAAGGAGGAGAUAAUGUAACACCCCAUAAAAGUCGUGCAUGGAUUAGCCUUUAAUAGAGUGCUCUUAGACUUAAAAAAAAAACUUGAAAAUUUUUCUAAGUGUAACUUAGAGUCAUUUUAGCUGGCAAUCUUCGGGAUACAACUUUUCAACCUUUUCGACCUCUGUUUUUAGAUUUUCAGGUUGCGUUACGAUCAUAAAAGCUCAUAGUACAUCUCGGAUAAGUUUUAGAAUUUUUCAGAAAGCAUAAGGCUGCGUUUGGAUUUCAAAACAGUAGCAAAAUGCAUAGCCUGUUGCCCAGUUUUCAGCAUUUCAGGGUCAACUUCAAACGAUCAUAACUCUCUGAAUAUAAUGAAAUGGGAGAGCUGCUACCUAUCAAAUGAAAGCUCUUUGAGUUUUCUUUCCAAUGCAACUGGUUUCAUCUAAAUCCAAGAUCUGAGUAAGAGUUAUACCCAUUUUACUUCAGCCUAUUAGUUUGUCAACUAAGGGACAGUUUCGACUUUGUUUGUUUUCUUAGGGGCAUUUUAGUCAUUUAACCUCGCCCAAAUUUCGUCUAUAACACCAUAUUUAGCCCCUAAUUCAUCAAAAUAUAAUCCUUUUCUCAAAUUUCUCUCAAGAACACCCCUUAGGGUUUUAAAAAAAAAUCCCAAAUAACUCAAGAUUCAACCGUGGGUUUUGGAAGAUAAUUAGAGAUUUGGAAUCCCCACAUCAUAGACUUCAAGGAUCAUCCCUCAAUUUCUUAAAUAGAGGUACGCGGGGUUUUCCUAAAUUCUCAUCGGCAUAGAAAUCAUGUUUUAAGAAAGGGGUUUUUGAAUUCAUGUACAUAUUCAUGUUUUAGAAGCUUUAAAUGAUAUUGUUUUAGCCUUUUGGCUUUCCCUAAAGUGACUUGAAAAUAUAUGUAUAUAUAUACGUGUUUUUCCUUGAAAUAUGAAUUAAGAGCACGAUUUACAUGAAAUCCCUCUCUUGAUGUAAUUUUCUCAUGUUUCACAUGAUAUAGAUUGUUUUGAAAUACGUGUUGAAAAAUCAUGAUAUGAAAUGCUUUGACUUUGCUAUGUUUGGAAUACGAUUUUGAACAUGAAAGAGAGGGUUGUAAAUGUUGAAUAUACAUAUAAUGAAAGAGUGCAUAAUUUUGCCAAAAGCACAUGACCACCAUAUGUUUGAUGAAAGUUUUUGCAUGGUUUUGACUUGAGUUUCGGAACAUGAAAUCUUUUAUGUAAAUUACAUGUUUGGGUGGUCUGAAACUACACUUUUAUGAAAGAUCAUACUUAAUGCAUUAUGGCUCAAAAAUAGGACUUGCAAGUCUUGGUAUGACGAUACCAACUCAGACAAAUGCCAUAACAGACACAGACUAGUUCAGAAAUCAGAUUUUAUCAGACUUUUAUGAUUAAGAAAUUUCAGAAUGAUACAUAUUCAUAAAAGGUUAAAAAUUGGGCAUAAAGAGAUGUUAGGUGGUCCCCGAAGAAGGCGUAAGUUCAGACAACUCAUUGCCCAAAAUCGUGAUUUGC
RNAcentral lists this long non-coding RNA (9301 nucleotides) under Capsicum annuum. RNAcentral's name for it is "long non-coding RNA (CANN_LNC012113)". The record is from RNAcentral. Lineage: Eukaryota; Viridiplantae; Streptophyta; Magnoliopsida; Solanales; Solanaceae.